This 339-nucleotide unclassified non-coding RNA is filed under the name soil metagenome. RNAcentral describes it as "partial contains 5.8S ribosomal RNA, internal transcribed spacer 2, and large subunit ribosomal RNA". The stretch from base 1 to 120 matches the Rfam family "5.8S ribosomal RNA", at positions 35 to 154 of the family's 154-position model. The record is from RNAcentral.
GAUGAAGAACGUAGCGAAAUGCGAUAAGUAAUGUGAAUUGCAGAAUUCAGUGAAUCAUCGAAUCUUUGAACGCACAUUGCGCCCGCCAGUAUUCUGGCGGGCAUGCCUGUCCGAGCGUCAUUUCAACCAUCAAGCCCCCGGGCUUGUGUUGGGGACCUGCGGCUGCCCGCAGGCCCUGAAAACCAGUGGCGGGCUCGCUGUCACACCGAGCGUAGUAGCAAUCACCUCGCUCAGGGCGUGCUGCGGGUUCCGGCCGUUAAACAGCCUUACAAAGCCCAAGGUUGACCUCGGAUCAGGUAGGAAGACCCGCUGAACUUAAGCAUAUCAAUAAGCGGAGGA